CAGGUGCAUUAAAUGAUGCAGCUGCCAAGAAAUACGAUUUAGAAGCAUGGUUUCCUGCAUCUCAGACUUACAGGGAGUUAGUAUCUUGUUCAAAUUGCACUGAUUAUCAGUCCAGAAGGUUAGAGAUUCGAUAUGGUCAGAAAAAGAGCAAUGAACAGACGAAACAAUACGUGCACUUGCUGAAUUCUACUCUCACAGCAACAGAAAGGACUCUAUGCUGCAUUCUUG
RNAcentral lists this unclassified non-coding RNA (228 nucleotides) under Hevea brasiliensis (rubber tree). The record is from RNAcentral. Lineage: Eukaryota; Viridiplantae; Streptophyta; Magnoliopsida; Malpighiales; Euphorbiaceae.